RNAcentral lists this ribosomal RNA (253 nucleotides) under uncultured bacterium. Its description in RNAcentral is "partial 16S ribosomal RNA". It matches the Rfam family "Bacterial small subunit ribosomal RNA", at positions 524 to 776 of the family's 1533-position model. The record is from RNAcentral.
UACGUAGGGUGCGAGCGUUAAUCGGAAUUACUGGGCGUAAAGCGUGCGCAGGCGGUGAUGUAAGACAGGUGUGAAAUCCCCGGGCUUAACCUGGGAACUGCAUUUGUGGCUGCAUCGCUGGAGUGCGGCAGAGGGGGAUGGAAUUCCGCGUGUAGCAGUGAAAUGCGUAGAUAUGCGGAGGAACACCGAUGGCGAAGGCAAUCCCCUGGGCCUGCACUGACGCUCAUGCACGAAAGCGUGGGGAGCAAACAGG